RNAcentral lists this ribosomal RNA (206 nucleotides) under uncultured bacterium. RNAcentral's name for it is "partial 16S ribosomal RNA". It matches the Rfam family "Bacterial small subunit ribosomal RNA", at positions 568 to 774 of the family's 1533-position model. The record is from RNAcentral.
CGCGUAGGCGGUCCGACAAGUCGGGGGUGAAAUCCUGCAGCUUAACUGCAGAAGUGCCUUCGAUACUGUCGGUCUUGAGGGAGAUAGGGGUGUGCGGAACUUCCAGUGGAGCGGUGAAAUGCGUUGAUAUUGGAAGGAACGCCGGAGGCGAAAGCGGCGCACUGGAUCUCUUCUGACGCUGAGGCGCGAAAGCUAGGGAGCAAACG